RNAcentral lists this ribosomal RNA (95 nucleotides) under Lepisosteus oculatus (spotted gar). The record is from RNAcentral. Lineage: Eukaryota; Metazoa; Chordata; Actinopteri; Semionotiformes; Lepisosteidae.
GCCAGCAGCCACAUCACCCUGCAGCCCAGCAGGUGUGAGCCUGGUCAGUCCCUGGAUGGGUGACCUCCUGGGAAAAACUAAGGCUGCUGCUGGAA